GACGAACGCUGGCGGCGUGCUUAACACAUGCAAGUCGAACGGAAAGGCCCUGCUUUUGUGGGGUGCUCGAGUGGCGAACGGGUGAGUAACACGUGAGUAACCUGCCCUUGACUUUGGGAUAACUUCAGGAAACUGGGGCUACUACCGGAUAGGAGCUCCUGCUGCAUGGUGGGGGUUGGAAAGUUUCGGCGGUUGGGGAUGGACUCGCGGCUUAUCAGCUUGUUGGUGGGGUAGUGGCUUACCAAGGCUUUGACGGGUAGCCGGCCUGAGAGGGUGACCGGCCACAUUGGGACUGAGAUUCGGCCCAGACUCCUACGGGAGGCAGCAGUGGGGAAUAGUGGACAAUGGGCGGAAGCCUGAUGCAGCAACGCCGCGUGCGGGAUGACGGCCUUCGGGUUGUAAACCGCUUUCGCCUGUGACGAAGCGUGAGUGACGGUAAUGGGUAAAGAAGCACCGGCUAACUACGUG
This 468-nucleotide ribosomal RNA is filed under the name uncultured bacterium. RNAcentral describes it as "partial 16S ribosomal RNA". It matches the Rfam family "Bacterial small subunit ribosomal RNA", at positions 28 to 507 of the family's 1533-position model. The record is from RNAcentral.